CCUGGUUGAUCCUGCCAGUAGUCCUAUGCUUGUCUCAAAGAUUAAGCCAUGCAUGUGUAAGUAUGAACUAAUUAAGACUGUGAAACUGCGAAUGGCUCAUUAAAUCAGUUAUAGUUUAUUUGAUGGUAUCUACUACUCGGAUAACAGUAGUAAUUCUAGAACUAAUACGUGCAACAAACCCUGACUUCUAGAAGGGAUGCAUUUAUUAAAUAAAAGGUCAACGUAGGCUCUGCCUGCUGCUUUGAUGAUUCAUGAUAACUCAUCGGAUCGCACGGCCCUAGUGUCGGCGACGCAUCAUUCAAAUUUCUUCCAUAUCAACUUUCGAUGGUAGGAUAGUGGCCUACCAUGGUGGUGACGGGUGACGGAGAAUUACGGUUCGACUCCAGAGAGGGAGCCUGAGAAACGGCUACCACAUCCAAGGAAGACAGCAGGCGCGCAAAUUACCCUAUCCUGACACGGGGAGGUAGUGACAAUAAAUAACAAUACUGGGCUCAAUGAAUCUGGUAAUUGGAAUGAGUACAAUCUAAAUCCCUUAAUGAGGAUCAAUUGGAGGGCAAGUCUGGUGCCAACAGGGACAGUCGGGGACAUUCGUAUUUCAUAGUCAGAGGUGAAAGUCUUGGAUUUAUGAAAGACGAACAACUGCGAAAGCACUUGCCAAGGAUGUUUUCAUUAAUCAAGAACGAAACUUGGGGGCUCGAAGACGAUCGGAUACCGUCCUAGUCUCAACCAUAAACGAUGCCAACCAGGGAUCAGCGGAUAUUGCUUUUAGGACUCCGCUGGCACCUUAUGAGAAAUCAAAGUCUUUGGGUUACGGGGGGAGUAUGGUCGCAAGGCUGAAACUUAAAGGAAUUGACAGAAGCGCACCACCAGGAGUGGAGCCUGCGGCUUAAUUUGACUCAACACGGGGAAACUUACCAGGUCCAGACAUAGUAAGGAUUGACAGACUGAGAGCUCUUUCUUGAUUCUAUGGGUGGUGGUGCAUGGUCAUUCCUAGUUAGUGGAGCAAUUUGUCUGGUUAAUUCCGUUAACGAACAAGACCUCAUCCUGCUAACUAGCUAUGUGGAGGUAACCCUCCACGGCCAGCUUCUUAGAGGGACUAUGGCCGCCUAGGCCACGGAAGUAUGAGGCAAUAAUAGGUCUAUGAUGCCCUUAGAUGUUUUGGGCCACACGCGCGCUACACUGAUGUAAUCAACGAGUCUAUAGCCUUGGCCGACAGGCCCGGGUAAACUUUGAAAUUUCAUCGUGAUGGGGAUAGAUCAUUGCAAUUGUUGGUCUUCAACAAGGAAUUCCUAGUAAGAGCGAAUCAUCAGCUUGCGUUGACUACGUCCCUGCCCUUUGUACACACCGGCCAUUGCUCCUAUCGAUUGAAUGGUCCGGUGAAGUGUUCGGAUCGCGGCGACGUGGGCGGUUCCCUGUCACCGACGUUGUGAAAAGUCCACUGAACCUUAUCAUUUAGAGGAAGGAGAAGCCGUAACAAGGUUUCCAUAGGUGAACCUGCGGAAG
This 1503-nucleotide ribosomal RNA is filed under the name Nissolia schottii. RNAcentral describes it as "SSU rRNA". It matches the Rfam family "Eukaryotic small subunit ribosomal RNA". The record is from RNAcentral. Lineage: Eukaryota; Viridiplantae; Streptophyta; Magnoliopsida; Fabales; Fabaceae.